This is a long non-coding RNA of Lytechinus variegatus (green sea urchin), 484 nucleotides long. RefSeq lists it as uncharacterized. The record is from RefSeq and is a predicted model, not a curated record. The transcript is spliced from 2 exons. Lineage: Eukaryota; Metazoa; Echinodermata; Echinoidea; Temnopleuroida; Toxopneustidae.
GAAGAAGAAGAAGAAAGGAGGAGGAGGAAAAGAAGGGAAAAAAAUAGCUGACAGGCGUUUUUUUUUUGCUAGGUGAUACAAAACGCAACUAUCAUCACCCCGGAUUUAGCACGAGUUACCACUUUACCCGAUGUAUUAUAAUGACGUACGAACCGACAAUUAAAUACAGAUUUAUGCGUAUAUCAAUUUCCAGGCAAGCAAUGGCUAUACUCUUUUUUUGAGUUGUCCAAAAUAAGUAUGAAUCUUCGUUUUACAAGAAACACAUUUACAAAGUAAUUUUAGAACUGAUACUUCGAUAAAGUUAUCAAAUCGGGUUUAAAAGGUUUGUUCAUGAUUGGAUCCACGCCCGGGCGGUGUGACCAGGCCUUAAAAGGCAUGGUUUGGAAAUGUCAUCAUAAUUUAAUGUUUACACCUAGUUCAUGAAACUUUUACAUAAAUGUAAUCAGCUUACUGAUCAUCUUGCAGGAGUUUCAGGUCACAUGAU